This is a long non-coding RNA of Bufo bufo (common toad), 527 nucleotides long. RefSeq lists it as uncharacterized. The transcript is spliced from 3 exons. The record is from RefSeq and is a predicted model, not a curated record. NCBI's taxonomy places the organism in Eukaryota, Metazoa, Chordata, Amphibia, Anura, Bufonidae.
AAUCUCAUAAACUUUCUGGUGCCUAUUAGGCCUAGUUCACACUUCAGUGUUUAGUCAGUGAUUUCCAUCAGUGAUUUCCAGCCAAAACACAGAACGAGUGCAGAUCUUUCCAUUUUACCUUAUCAAUGGAGGCUCCAUUCCUGGUGUGGACUAGGUCUUACACCGUGGUUUUCCCGCAUGAGAAUUCGUGCAUAAAAACCGCAUGUAAUCUACAACGUGUGCAGGCAGCCUAAAGGAAUUUUUCUGUAUAAUGGUUUCAUUGUAUUCAGGCCAUGAGACACACCAGACAAAAUACAAAUCACAUUGAUUUUAGUACUUAAACCGCUUUACUCCCGGACUCGUCUAAUGUCCAAGAUAAGUAUGUGCAACUUUUCAUGGUCUCUAAUUUAACCAUGAGAUGUAGCUUUUAUUAUACAAUACUAUGAGAUUAAGGCCUCAUGCACACAAACGUAUUCUGUUUCCGUGUCCGUUCCGUUUUUUUUGCGGAUAGGAUGCAGACCCAUUCAUUUCAAUGGGGCUGCAAAAAA